RNAcentral lists this long non-coding RNA (1538 nucleotides) under Heterocephalus glaber (naked mole-rat). RNAcentral describes it as "lncRNA (ENSHGLG00000034736.1)". The record is from RNAcentral. Lineage: Eukaryota; Metazoa; Chordata; Mammalia; Rodentia; Bathyergidae.
CCGGGAGGUUGGCGAGUGUGCGCGCGUGUGUGUGCGCAGCGCGUGUGUGCGUGUGCGCGCGUCUACAGGUAGCAGCGGCGGCGGGGACCCGAGCAGGGGACGCUUCGGCAGCUACCUCCCGCCUGUGAUUUUUCGGAGGCGAUUGCUCACUUAGCUGACGGAUCUGUAGCCCCGGGAGAUCUCGUCCUCUCCAUUUCCACGCUGUUUAGGCGUCUUCCGUUUCAAGUGUGUGUUUGGGGUAUUUUUUUUUUUCUUUUAGAUGUUUUUCGUCUCCCACUAAAUCUUCUCGGGAAUACUGCAUAUCGAAGCAGGUGGUUCCUGGUACGAAAUCUUUGGAUACAUUUUAUUUGCCAAGUUUUGCUUCUCCCUAUCCCCUCCCGCUUUGAGAGGCAUCCUUGGUGCUUUUCUUUCGGAUUUACAUGCAGAAAACGUAUCUAUGUUUAUAUGCCGACCGGAUAAUUUAUAAGUACGUACAUAUACGCGUGCCCAAGCACCUGGCUUUCGUCUCCUUCCCGACCAGGAGGAAUGUUUUGGAGCCCAUGGAUAAGGAGCACAGUAUUAACAUUCUUCUAAGGCUGUUUUUCAAAAAGGGGAGGGAGCGUGAAGAAUUGUUUAACAUUCGGCCGCCGUUUGGCUGCACACUAAGCACCACGAAGUAUUUAUGGUUGCAGAUCAGGUGCAAACGGGGCUUACAGAGAAAGGUAAGGGAGCUUCCUGCGUCCACCCGUCCCGACGUUUAUCUUAAUUCCCGGGAUUACCGAAAACUUCCUUCCUACUCCUUGCCUGACCCUGGCCUCCCCCAGCUCCCCCACCCCUGCCCGCGGUCUCUCCGGUUCGCUUAACCCUUGUCCAGUUCCUUUGGGCUGAGAAUGGUAGUGGUGGCGUCGACAGUACUGGAGGUGGAAUCGUCUGUUUGAGUUUAAAUGCGUCUCUCUUUUUUUCCCCUUUGAGUAACUGAGUUUUCCAAUCCCCCUUUUUAGCAGUCUCAAGAAAUGUUAUUUUGUCCUUAAAAAAAAAACAACCCGUUACGUAGAUAACUGCUUUAACCAUGUAUUGGUGCCAACUCCUCACCGGUGUCCUCUGGAAAAAUAAUAAAAGCAAUAAAAAUGAUGAACUUUAAUGAGCUGGGUGGUUUCUUCAGUACUGAGGGACAUGGAACCUCUCAAAUGAUUCUUUUCAUUAAAAAAAAAGAAAAAAAGAAAAAAGAAAAAAGAAAGAAAAACCGGGGAAAAAAACCCAAAUCAAUACCACGGGAGGAGGCCACAGUGAAGGAAAUUCGGCUUCCAUUUCUGCAUAAAGCAAUUCAUUUCACUUGGAGGGUAAUUCGCCAGAGUUUCGAGAGAUGAAGCGAAGUCUCCCGUGGGAGAACCUACAGCACUUAAUUCCUGCUCAAAUGCAUCCUUUUCCUCUACGACGAAACUGUGUACAUCUUGAACCAGGAGAGAUCCCGGUAGAUGACCAAUCAGACGUUGGAGGGGAUAUAGACCCGCAGCUAACUGGAUUUGAUUUAUAAGAAGGAAAUCUACAGUCAAUGGCCA